Long non-coding RNA from Mustela lutreola (European mink), 927 nucleotides. RefSeq lists it as uncharacterized. The record is from RefSeq and is a predicted model, not a curated record. The transcript is spliced from 4 exons. Lineage: Eukaryota; Metazoa; Chordata; Mammalia; Carnivora; Mustelidae.
CUACAUUAUAUCGCAGCUGUUUGUCCCAUGCCAUUAGAAGUUCUCCGCACCAAGGAUUAAUAUAACCACCGUCUAUGAUCAGUUGUCUUCCAGGCACAGAUUGGACACCUGAGAAAUACAGCCAGCAAAGGGAGAGACUGAGGCCUUGGACGCCCGUGGCUUUCAUCUGAUGACACGAGCAGCACUGACCUGAAGGACGGUUCUAUCAUGGAACCAAGGCUUCUCCCCUAGGUACAAGGUACUGGGUUUAUUGAUUGUUACUUCCUCUUGGAUUCAGGUAGCAGUUACUGCUGAAUCACACAGACUGAUACAGGGCCUUAAAAACAGUAUCAUAUCAUCAUGUUGCGUACUUGGAGGCUCUCUCUUGUUUUGGAAACCUGAAAGAAUGAUAAGCAGCUUCUCUUCACCAUCAAGUGGGUCAGCGUGAUCUUUCUGAGAUGCGUUUUUGUUUUCGCAUGUGCCAAGAGUCACGUGGAGCUCGGCGUUAGAAUAUUAAAAAAGCUUUAGUCAAAAGAGGAAACAGUGAACGAGAUGACUUUUUGAAAUAACCUGAAGUCAACGGCUAAGAAGCAGCUGCUUGAGAGAGCCCUGACUGAGACACCGACCAAGAAGCCUGCAGAAGACAACUAUGUGCAAAUGCCCCAGGGAAGAGCAGAAGAAAUGCCCAGCUGAGCCCAGCCCAACUUCAUGAAGAACAACAAUAAACUGCUCAUGACAAACUUACUGCAGGAUGGCCAGAAACACCUCCAUGGAGAUCCACUUGACAAAUGAUUAUUUAAAAAACAAACAAACGAACAAACAAACCAGGGGCCCCUGGGUGGCUCAGUGGGUUAAAGCCUCUGCCUUCGGCUCAGGUCAUGAUCCCAGGGCCUUGGGAUCAAGCCCCUCAUCAGCUUCUCUGUUCGGCAGGGAGCCUGCUUCCUCCUC